Molecule: ribosomal RNA, 403 nt
Filed under: Actinomycetes bacterium
Lineage: Bacteria; Bacillati; Actinomycetota; Actinomycetes
Description: Actinobacteria bacterium partial 16S ribosomal RNA
Rfam family: Bacterial small subunit ribosomal RNA
Source: RNAcentral
UGGGGAAUAUUGCACAAUGGGGGAAACCCUGAUGCAGCGACGCCGCGUGAACGAAGAAGGUCUUCGUAUCGUAAAGUUCUUUCCUAUGGGAAGAUAAUGACAGUACCAUAGAAGAAAGCUCCGGCUAAAUACGUGCCAGCAGCCGCGGUAAUACGUAUGGAGCGAGCGUUGUCCGGAAUUAUUGGGCGUAAAGGGUACGCAGGCGGUUUAAUAAGUCGAAUGUUAAAGAUCGGGGCUCAACCCCGUGAAGCAUUGGAAACUGAUAAACUUGAGUAGUGGAGAGGAAAGUGGAAUUCAUAGUGUAGUGGUGAAAUACGUAGAUAUUAGGAGGAAUACCAGUAGCGAAGGCGACUUGCUGGACACAAACUGACGCUGAGGUACGAAGGCGUGGGGAGCAAACAGG